CUGCCGCGAAUAUCCCCCCCCCUCCGCUUUCUUCCUUUCUUUUGAAAUAAAAGAUGAAUCCUUUCGCAAAGCAGUAAAGUUUGCCAUUAAAAUUGACACCGGGGGAUGUCCGUAAAAGCCAAGUCCAUCUAGGAUUGGUUAGCCCGCCGGAAGUGGCUGGGAGCCCGGUGCAUUUUCCAAUAGAUAAGUGUCCUGCUGGAGGCCUUUCGCCUGAAAAGAGGUUCUUCCUCUCGUAGUCACGCACACGUGGGUACCUAUCUUGAUGGAAGAAAUUGCGAGGUGUCUGUCCGGCUGGAACCUGGUUAUCGACCUAAGCCUGCGAGAAGCAAAGAAGAAGAAGACAGGGAUAAGGAAGAAGAAGCAGCAAAGAAAAAUGGCUUGCAAAAAUCCUCAUCCUUAGAAUUCCCUGCACUUGAUGAAGCUUCACCAGGACUCUUUCAUCCCUGUGGUGACUUGAAAUGAGAUCAAAUGGACAGCUGAGCAAUCCCAAGAAAAUCAUUCUUCCUUACCCAAGCCCCAAUCAGAUCUUCAGGCAGUGGAGGUGAACAACUACCAUCGCCCAAGGCCCAAGAGUAGGAGGCAGGUUGCAAUGGUGCGGUUCAAAAUCAAAGAAAAUUCCUAAUUGCUGUUGACUUGAGAAGGAUCCAUUUGUCCCGCUCCCUGAGCAGCAUUUAUGUUUCUUAUAAAACUAGAAUCCAGAGCUGGAAAUUUUGAAGGGCAUUCAGAAUUUACUUUUUUGUACAAAAAGGGGGUACAAUAUGUUUAGAAAUUUUACUAGUAAUUGUGAUAGUAUUUUUUAAAAUACAAACACACACAUAUGCAUACAGAUAGAGACUGUGUACAUAAAAGCAGUAAGUACGCUCCAUUCAAAUUAACAAUAAUAUUAAUUAGCAAAGGUAGCUUUGUUUUGAAUAGCUUACAUCCUGUGACAAAUACCUUUAACACAAUCAAACAACAAACUCUCCCUAUUCUAGGUCCUUGGGAAGGACUCAUUAGGCAGACAAAAUGCAAAAUUCAGCCUGAACAUCCAGGCUGACUAUGCGAUGGACAAUACAACUAUAAUAAUUAUUUUUAUGCUGCCUGACUCCCAUUAAUUCUGGAUAAUUGACAAUUUUAAAAAAUAUUUAAAAACAAAGAACAAAUCAAAAUUGACAAAAUUGACACAAGACAAAAGAACAACAAUGAGAAGGAAUAUAAACUCAGAGAGAAAAAGAAAGGGGCACCAGUCAUCUUCUCCAAAGAACUGGGUGAAGAAGCAGACCUUUAAGGUCCUUCAAAAUAUCAAUAGGAUAUUAUCCAGAUAUAUGUACAGAAUAACUAAUUUUUAAUUUCCCUUUCUAAGGAAAUUUGGGUCAAUUCAGGCUGCGCUCACUUUAGAUUUUGGUAUAGCUACUUGAUUGUGUGGCUCUCUGGAUUCUAACUAUAAUUGGAAUUUUGACUAAUUGGGAAUAAUUGCUUUCCCAAUUAUUGCUAAGAGUUUUUGAUUUCUGGAAUCCAGAAAUUAAUUGUCCUGUGAAGGAAAAUAUGAAUAGAAAAAAACAUAAUAUCUUGCCUGGCCAUUGUGAUGGAUUGAUUUCUAAGAUACAUCUCUUGUAGUAGGCCAGUUCAAGCUAAAAGGAGUUGCUGGCUUUUGCAUAGUUUGCAUUUGAAUUAUAGUUUGGAUUUGAAUAAUAGAGGAGAUGGUCUAACUCUAAUCCCAUUUACUUAAGAAGUAAAUCCUGCAAAUGAAAUAGUAUUCACUUCCAGAUAAACAUUGGGACUGUAAGGUGAAUUUUCUCCUAUCACCUUCCCAAAAUGAGAAACUGGAAGUAAAGUAUAAGAUACCUGUGAAUGGAGGGACUUUCUUGUAUGUUCACAUCUGUGAUCUGUUCGUUUUACUUUGGAUUUUAGUUCUUGGCCUUUGGUCUCCAAAAUCUCUCUCCUAAAAAAUCCUAAGAGGAAAAAAAAAGAGAGAAUUAUGGAAUGAGCAUAUUAUGAACGUGUUAAGACUGAUCCUUCCAUUGAUAAAAAGAUACUUAAUAUGGAAAUAUAAAACAAACACAAGUACUUCAGUUGGACUGAUUACAUCCAGUUGGAUUUCACCCUGAACUUCAGGCUGUUCUAGAGCUGAGUUGGAUUUAAAGAAAAAGUUUGAGUGACAUCAUGCUCAGGUGUAGGUUACAAUAGAAAACAUGCUUUAAGUUUAAUAUAUCAUUCCUUAGUUAUUUAGAGAUGAAAUCAAUGAAAUGUUUUCUUAGAAAUCCUCCAUCACUCUCAAGGUUGAGAGAAUGUUUUUAAUUAUCCUGGUCUGUGCUCUUGAUUGAAUGUCCAAAAAUUCUGGAAUUGCUGGCAAAAUAAAAACUGCAAGUUAGUUUUUUUGUUACUUUUCUCACUGAUGUUAUAUUAGCUCUGAAUAUUCAGAAUAUGCAUAGAAACCUUGGGGCUAAAGGAAUGUAGCUUGUCCUAUAAGUACCCUUCCUAGUGGACAUAAUUUAUACCUUUGGCUAAAAAAAAUUCUCCACUUGCUGAUUCUUCUUCAAAUAUUAACAAACCUGAAAUAACCUUGGAGUGAAAUAUGGUUACACUCGGUUAGCUAAAAACUAGUCCUCUCCAAAACCAGCCUCUCUCAAUCCAAACAGACUGGAAAUAGGUUUCUCCAUUAUGGCUCCUCCAAGCGAUGUAUGACUCAGCCAUCCUUUAACAGAGAAGAGAAGAAAUCCAAUUUAAGGAAGUUUAAAAUGCUGUACAGAUGGAGACCGCAUUGGUUUCUUUGAAUGAGUUGUUCAAAAACAUUCUAGCAGUUUAUAGCCAUGGAAGAACCAUUCAAAGAAACAAUCUUGCUUAUUUUCUACCUGCUGUUAAAUAAUGUUGUUGUUUUUUUUAAAAAAAGAGGUUUUGCCCUUAACCAUUUUGCUGAAGAAUUACCAACAGCCUUGCGGUUGCUAAUUAAAGAAAGACUUAAUUGCUUGAAUCAGUAGCUUCAAAAGCAUAUGCAGAAAGCAGUUUAACAGGAUAGAUUUUUUUUUAAAAAAACAGACUACCAUGAACUUUAGUUGGAGCAUAAUUUCUUUCACUUUAAAAUGUACAUCUUUUCAAAACCUUAACACCUGUUGAAUGCAAUGCUAUUGAAUGAAUCAAUAAAGUGCUGUUUAAACAGUUUUAGCAGCUGGCAGAAAAGUGUUAGACUCCUGGUAAUGAAGAGAUGCUUUUGAUAGGUAUAUAUAAACUGUUUCUAUUUGUUUUAAAAAUAAAUAUGCAUGAAUUUUAAAUGCUUUCUUGAGUUAUCUUCAUAGUUUUCAGAAAUGCAGAGCUAGUUUGUCUAACCAUCUCUUAAUUCCUCACCAUACAUCUAGAUGCACAGUAGCAUUAUAGUUACUGUCUUUAGGUCAGAAAACAUUUUAGUAACUAGAUUCUGGUCCUGCAAAGGAAGAUUGAGACUUGGUAUGCAUAUUUAUUUGGAAACAAGACUUCCUUAUUGUAAUUCAUACCAGCUCACAUUGUAAUUCAUACCAUACAAAUUAAUCUUCUCACUAUUAAAGUUUCCUGGUAACUUCAUGGACACAUUAGUGUAUUGUUUUCCACAACAAUACUAGCAAUACCAAGUUGCCAUUGCUGCUUUUCGGGAUUUUCCCCCUUUCCAAAUCUUCAUUCCCAGUAUUUUCUGAUGGUCUCCCAUCCAAAUAUUAAUCAGAUCUGAUCCUGCUCACCUGCUUAAUCAAGAUUGGCUAUAAUAUAGGAAUGCAAAUAUAAGAUAGAGUGGUGCCAAAAAGAAGCAUAUUUAAUAGUCACAGAACUGAAAGGAAACAUUAAGCAUCAUUUGAACAUCAUAACAUCUUUAAAAAAAUAUCUUUGGUUAAUGUAUGGCCUUUUUGCUAAAAGCAGUGCUGGGCAUUUGAUUAUCCUGAUCUUUAUAGACUUUUUUGUUUUGCACUUCUCCAACUUCUUAAUUUUAGAUAAAUAUAUCAUUUCCCUUUGUUAAUUGAAAUUUAAUUUGAAUAUGUUUUGGUGCUCAUCCUUCCUUUAAAGUUAUGCCCAUUUAGGAUUGGUAUACUAACAGCUUCACCUGUGCAUGAUCUUUAAAUAUAAAUCCUAGUGAGUUAAAUAGAGUUUCCUUUUGCACAGAAGAGUGAAUUCUUACAGAAUCCCAUCCUGUUUCUCUUCAUUUAGAAGCAAGUUUCCUGUUUGCUAUCUAGCUGACUUUAUUUCUGAGUAAUACUGCAUAGAUUUUUAGUUUUGGGGAUAUAGCUUCAAAGGGGGUCAUAAACAUAAAGAAAUUUAAAAAAUAAUAAAUACUCUUAAACUUAGUUUAAUAGCUGUCUUAUAAAGUUUUUUACUUGCUACUAUUAAAUACAUAGAGCUUUGAUCUCAAUCAGAAAAGAGUUCUUGUCCUGUGAAUAGAUCCCACUCUAGGCAGCUACUAUUUUUGAAAAUAACCAUUCAGCAUUCUUCCUUUUAUUUAUCUAGGACUGGAAAAAGAUCAAACAGUUAUUGACAUUCUAAAUUUCCCUUGAAGUUGAAUCUAUCCCUUUCUCUAUCAUACUUAAUUGUAACUGUGUUCUUCUCUUGUAACAGUUUUUAACUGUAAUUAUUUGUAUUAAAGGGCAGACCCAUGUCCUGUUAUGGCUCUUCAUAAAAAGGCUCCAAGGAAUCACAAGAAAAAAAUAAAACUAAAAAGAAAAAGUCUUAGCCAUGUAAAUUUAUGAGUCCCUCCAUUCUCCUAAGCCUGAAUGCACACAUGAAUACAUAUACAUAGUCAGAAGUGGCUCUUUUAAAAUCAGCACUUUUUUUUUUCACUGAAAACAUUCUCUCCCUUGAGGUUGCAUCUGUAGCCAGAGAUCCUGUACUGAGUUAAGAGAUUAUUUCUAAAAUCAAGUACAGGUUUAUUAUUUUAAACUGUAAUAGACACAGGAUUUAUUUAGAAAAUAGUCCUGUUACACUUAAUUAUACUUACUUGAUUAUACUUACUUGUCAACAGAUUUAGAGUUGUACUUUUAACUUUUUUUUAAAGAAAAGCUUAAUUCAUGAAAAUAAUCAGAAAUGAAAAACAAAAUAUUAAAUCCUAAAAUGUUUUGUUUAAAAUACUUAAUCUUAAAUAUUAAAUGUUUUAACAUAUUCGUUAAAAAAAUCAUUAAUUUAUUUUGAGAGAGUGCCACCUAGAGGUCAUUUUAAGUAUUAACUAGGACAGAAGUUUUGCAAUCAAUAGAUAAAACAAUUGCCUAAGAAUUUGAAGUUGCCCCUUUGGAAUUAACAUCUCAAGUAUGAUGACAUUAGAAUGAGUUCUAAUAAGAAAUAUGUAGCCAACCCUCAGGACCUCAUUGGUUUGCAAAUUGUUUUCAAUUUCCAGAUCUAUAAUUUGAACAGGAGGUGGUGAUAUUAGUAAACAAACAUUUCAUUUCUAUGAAUAUAGUCGCCUUGAAUGUUACAAUAUUAAUUUUCCUUUUCCCCCCAAGUAUUGACUUUAUUUUCCUCUUAAGGGAGGCAAUACAUCCACAUUUUUUAAAGAGAGAUGUUUAAAUCAGUUCUUUUGCACUGCCCUCUUAAAUUUUUUUGCCAAACCAAAUUUGCAGCCACUUCACUCUUAAAACCAUGAAUGGAACUUAUUUGUUGCUCAUUUUUUGCCGCUAAAGUUGAAUUUUUAAAACAAAAAUCACAUUAAAAGUAUACAGUGGUGUUUCUCUGAUACAUGAUGCUUACUUCAAACCAUGUACUUUUUUAACAGGGAGCAAACCAAAAUCUAAAACAGUUUUCCCCACUGCCAUAUCCACUUGGAUUACAAAUCUUGUAACUUCUCUCCCAUGGCUAAAAUCUGGGAAUGACUAUUGGAACACAUUUUACUUCCUAAAUAAACAACAAAAUAUUUUCAAGUUAUAGGAAAGACUUUGUCUUUAAAAACAUAAAGUUCUUUUCAAUUCUGUAAAUUUCUACACAUUUUGUAUGUGAGUUCCUAAAACAAUAAUUUGCUUGGACUUAUAGAAAUUUUAAUACUGUUUUAUGCAUCUAAAUUUUUAUUUAAUACUUUAUUAAAUAAUCUUUACAUGUGUCAUGGUAUUAUUCAUAUUUAUUUAAAAGCAGUGCUGAUAUUUAAGAGGACCAGGAAGGAUUCAAUAUCUUUGAAACCUAGUCAAAUCACAUCUAUUGAACAAAAAGUAUGUGUUUAUAGCUAAUUUUGUUUUAUGCCAUAUUUGUUGAAUUGUAUUUAUUGCUUAGCAGAAUAAUCUCAAAUAGAGAAUUCUUUGCUUUCUUUGGCUAUGUGAAUGACCCAGAAUGAAAUUUUAAACAGUUUUCAUUCAGAUUAAAACAUAAGGAAUAUGUAACCUUCCAUCUAGCUCUUGCUGAACUGUUGCCACUACUAGCCUAAUAGCCGCUGAAGGCUCUAUUCAAAGUCCAAAUGUGUGGACUUCAACUCAAGAGUGUUCUCAGCAUUGGCCACGCUGCCAGGAGAAUUAGAAGAGUUUAAAUUCAUGCAUCUGGAAAUUGCUAAGAUUGGAAUGUGCUAUCAUCACAAACUUAUUUUAGUCUGGUUGUAUAAACCUAACCUGUGUGUCUGAUGUAAAAUAUUAGAAAUAAGUUACAAGGAAGUCCUCAUCCAUCCAAUAAAAUAUAUUGUCAGUAUUCAUGAAAAUGUGAUUCUUUUUAUUAUAUGGAUGCCAACAUUGUUUUGAUGUUUAUAGUUGUGGUGUUUUGUUUAUAUAAUAAUGUGUAGACUAUUUUUUUUUCUUCCCAAAUGGAAUCAAUUAAAAUAGAUUGCAAAAUAUAGGAGCAAAUAUAAAAAAUGAAUAAUUUAUUGAAGAAACCAAACCAAAAUUACAAUAGGAAAAAAAACCUAGAGACCCAAAACCAAGAAUCCAGCAAUGGCAGCAGUAUCUGUUUGAAAAAUAAAUAUUUGCAGUUAGAAAGGAUGAGAUAUUUUAGGAGCAGUGAGUUUCAAAUAAAAUAGGUAAUUUUUCUUUUAGCCACUUUUUUUAUGUUGCCAUUAAGUAUUUCUCAGAUGCAACCCAUUAAAGAAAAGGAGACAUAGAUAAUCUUAAAGCUUAGGUAGCUUUUCACAGAAAAUAUGUUAUAAUCAGAAUAUUUCAGAUACUUAAGCUACAUUACUUAAAACUCCAAAAGUAACAGUAAUACUUCUCACUGUUUGCUCUGAUUAUUACUUUGAUGGGGAGAACCAUUGGUGAAGAUCAGGAACCAUACCAAGAAAAUGACUUGGAUGUGACUAUAUGAACCACCAGAAGACAAACUCAAGGUAAUCCAGCAGCCAACUGGUUGCAUGCUCGUUCCUCCAGGAAGAAAAGAUGCCCCUAUACAAAAUAUCAGACCCUGGAACUGGAGAAGGAAUUUCUGUUCAACAUGUACCUCAC
This is an RNA transcript of Crotalus tigris (Tiger rattlesnake), 7334 nucleotides long. It is a transcript of the gene named homeobox B9, with no coding region annotated. The record is from RefSeq and is a predicted model, not a curated record. The transcript is spliced from 4 exons. Lineage: Eukaryota; Metazoa; Chordata; Lepidosauria; Squamata; Viperidae.